Molecule: long non-coding RNA, 963 nt
Organism: Girardinichthys multiradiatus
Lineage: Eukaryota; Metazoa; Chordata; Actinopteri; Cyprinodontiformes; Goodeidae
Exons: 3
Source: RefSeq, a predicted model, not a curated record
UGGUAAUCAGACCCAACCAAACCCUGCUCCUUGUCUGGCAUUGUGCCUAUUGUUAACCCUGGCUCUCCAUCUUCUUUCAAGGUUGCUGUUUGCUGAAUCCAGCUCUGGAAAAACCCUCUGUGGCCCUGGUUUGUCCGUGUUGGUAACAGCAGAACCCGCUUCCUGGUAACCCCACUGUGGUCCUGUGGGGGUUUUGGGUGCCUGGUGUUGCCGUUUCCUCCUGUGACCACUAGAGGCCGUUGGGAACAUGAUGAGUCGGCCAGUGACAGGUGCUCCUCAUCCAGAGCUCGUUAGGGCUCACCUGGAAGGAGUAUUUAGGAGCCAGUCCUUGUUCGGCUGAGUGUUUACAAUUGUGAUUCAGUAACUGUAAGGUGUGGGCGGAUCCGGGACUUGCUCAAGACCAAAUCCAUGAAGACCUAAAAAUCAACAGCUUGACCAUUUGGUUUCAAGUAUCUGUCUGGCGGACUGGCUCUGGACCUCUGCACGCCCCUGACACCUGAGGAUGAAAGCCCGUCUUUGCCGCUGGCUGGCGGGGGGUAACGCCUCUGAACUUCUCAGACCCUUCCAUGGACACUAGCACCCAAGGGCCCUACUGGAUUACCUCCCACAACCUCUGAACUUCUAGAACAAACACCUGGUGCCCAAGGCUGUGAUUUUGACCGGCCCUGACUGGUAUUUAUAACCGAGCUGCAGCAUUUGCUCCUCGCUUCACCUGCCCUGCCUGUCCACCCUCCAAUGUCAACAACCAUCUGUGGAAAUCUGCUCGCACAGUUCACUCACCUGCCAAUCCUCUCCCUCCUGGAACCAUCAUCCAAUUCCACAAGUAAGAUCAGUAUUCACAGAACUUCUCCUCACCUACUUCUAACACCUCUCUCCCUCAUAGUGAGCUGAUCCCUGCCACCAGACAAGCACGGACUCCUGACCUUGCCAAUAACAUAAUUGCAAUAAACCUGUUUAAAUCUU